AAAGAUUAAGCCAUGCAUGUCUAAGUACAUGUGAGUACACGAAACCGCGCAAGGCUCAUUACAACAGCUAAAAUGUAUACGGUGAGAUACCAUUAAAUGGAUAUCUGCGGUAAAUCUGGAGCUAAUACAUGCAAAAAAGAUUGUAUAAUUUUAUUAUAUGAUUGCAGUUAUUAGAUUAAAACCAAUGGGCUCUGCCCAUAUAUGUUAACUCUAGAUAAUGCGUUACCAUACAGAWWUAUUUCUGAUGGAAUGCCGUAUUUGUAUCUGCCCUAUCAACUAUAUAACCGUGUAUUGAACGGUUAUGGUGUUGCCGGGUAACGGAGAAUUAGGGUUCGUCUCCGGAGAGAAUGCCUUAAAAACGGCUUUCACAUCCAAGGAAGGCAGCAGGC
This 389-nucleotide ribosomal RNA is filed under the name Halicephalobus gingivalis. RNAcentral describes it as "SSU rRNA". Lineage: Eukaryota; Metazoa; Nematoda; Chromadorea; Rhabditida; Panagrolaimidae. The record is from RNAcentral.